CACCUAGCAACUGGUCCUUGCAGCUGCCAGACUACACAAUGGGAGGUUGGGGGAAUGGGAAUACGCACAACAGUCAAAGCCAUGAGUUAUGGGAAGGAAGCACGUGAAGAAGGGAAGGAACAGCUAUUCUGAUGAAAACUGGAGCCAUAGAAAGAUGUCUCUGCUGCACUGUUGAAUCUACUGAAAGAGAUAUGACCUUGAGGCAACAGCAAUCAAACAACCUGUCAACUAAUACUACGGCUGUCAGUGAUAUAAUUACUUCUCUACAUUGCAACAUAUCUAACAAACCAACACCUUAUGCUCACUCAUCACAUGGGAAAAAUUAGACCAUGCCCAAAUUCAACAGACAAGCUAGAAUAAAAAUCAAUAAGUUAACAUUAA
Long non-coding RNA from Podarcis raffonei (Aeolian wall lizard), 381 nucleotides. RefSeq lists it as uncharacterized. The transcript is spliced from 2 exons. The record is from RefSeq and is a predicted model, not a curated record. NCBI's taxonomy places the organism in Eukaryota, Metazoa, Chordata, Lepidosauria, Squamata, Lacertidae.